This 275-nucleotide ribosomal RNA is filed under the name uncultured bacterium. Its description in RNAcentral is "partial 16S ribosomal RNA". It matches the Rfam family "Bacterial small subunit ribosomal RNA", at positions 79 to 353 of the family's 1533-position model. The record is from RNAcentral.
CUAAGUUUGAUGGCGACCGGCGCACGGGUGNGUAACACGUAUCCAACCUGCCGAUGACUCGGGGAUAGCCUUUCGAAAGAAAGAUUAAUACCCGAUGGCAUAGUUCUUCCGCAUGGUAGAACUAUUAAAGAAUUUCGGUCAUCGAUGGGGAUGCGUUCCAUUAGGUUGUUGGCGGGGUAACGGCCCACCAAGCCUUCGAUGGAUAGGGGUUCUGAGAGGAAGGUCCCCCACAUUGGAACUGAGACACGGUCCAAACUCCUACGGGAGGCAGCAUG